RNAcentral lists this unclassified non-coding RNA (276 nucleotides) under Exophiala sp. Its description in RNAcentral is "partial contains 5.8S ribosomal RNA, internal transcribed spacer 2, and large subunit ribosomal RNA". The record is from RNAcentral. Lineage: Eukaryota; Fungi; Ascomycota; Eurotiomycetes; Chaetothyriales; Herpotrichiellaceae.
CGCACAUUGCGCCCUUUGGUAUUCCGAAGGGCAUGCCUGUUCGAGCGUCAUUACACCCCCUCAAGCCCUCCGGCUUGGUGUUGGACGGUUGGGUCAAGGUCCCCUUGACCCCCUCCCAAAGACAAUGACGGCGGCCUCGUUGGACCCCCGGUACACUGAGUUCUUCACGGGGCACGUACUGGACAUAGGGCCCACGGGACACGGUCUGCCUCCCCUCCAGGGAGAAUUUUUCUCAAGGUUGACCUCGGAUCAGGUAGGGAUACCCGCUGAACUUAA